Molecule: long non-coding RNA, 1393 nt
Filed under: Homo sapiens (human)
Lineage: Eukaryota; Metazoa; Chordata; Mammalia; Primates; Hominidae
Description: non-protein coding lnc-UBE2E2-3:1
Source: RNAcentral
AGGCACUUCACGUGGUCAGCACAGGAGGGGCAGGUGCCACACACUUUUAAACAGCCAGAUCUCAUGAGAACUCCAUCACGAGAACAGCACCAAAGGGAUGGUUCUAAGCAAUUCGUGAAAGAUCUACUCCCAAAAUCCAAUUACCUCCCACCAGGCCCCACCUUCAACACUGGGUAUUACAGUUCGACAGAAGAUUUGGGCAGGGACACAAAUCCAAACCAUAUCAGAAACUUUGAGAUACCUUUCAACUGUUGAGUCAUUUCAAACCGAGGCCGAGGGGCUCACAGAGAAGGAGUCUCGGGGCCAGUUAGCCAAGCCCAGACCUGGUGCUGCAUCGAAUCGCUUCUAAGCUGACAAUUGGGAAGUGAGGACAAUUUGCUCAGUGACUGACUAACGUCAUGAAGGUGUUGUUUCCGUACAUAUUGAGGUUCAGCUAAAGCAGACAUUAAUAUUGGUAAUUUUAUCAGAAGUAGAUAUUUCAGAUAUCAUCAAUGUUUUAAGUCCCUAAAUGAUAAUAUUUUUAUUGUUUUUACAGUUCCGAAUGACUUCUGGAGAAUAGUAAAUGUGUCCCUAAACAUAGGAUAUAAUUUUACCUAAAAAUUUCAUAUACAUGUUGUGAGAUAAAUUGUGUUCCCCCAAAAAAGAUAUGUUCAACUCCUAAGCUAGUACCUAUGAAUGUGAUCUUAUUGGGAAAUAGGGUCAUUACAGAUGUAAGCAAGUUAAGAUGCUCAGUAUGGUGGACCCUAAACCCAAUAUGACUGGUGAGCUGAUAAGCAAAGGAGACAUAGAUAGGCACUCAGAGAGAAUACCAUAUGACAACAGAAGCAGAGAUUGGAGUGACACGGAUACAAGUCAUGGAACACCAAGGAUUGCCAGCAAUUCCAGAAACUGAAAGAAGGACAUGGGACAGAUUCUGCCCAAGAGCCGUCACGGAGACAGCAUGGCCCUGCUGACAUUGAUUUUGGACUUCCAGCCUCCAGAGCUGUGACAGAAUAAGGUAAUGUUGUUUAAAGUCACCUGCCUUGUGGUACUUCCGUAUAGCAGCCCUAGAAACUAAUACACACUAUGUUAAGAUUAUUUUGGUGCUACAUUUUAAUGAUUUUUAAAAACUAUGAUUAGGGCCACGCACAGUGGCUCAUGCCUGUAAUCCCAGCACUUGGGAGGCCAAAGCAGGUGGAUCACUUGAUGUCAGGAGUUUGAGGCCUGCCUAGCCAACAUGGUGAAACCUCGUCUCUACUAAAAAUACAAAAAUUAGCUGGAUGUAGUGGCUGCAUACCUAUAGUUCCAGCUCCUUGGGAGGCUGAGGCAGGAGAAUCGCUUGAACCUGGGAGGCAGAGGUUUCAGUGACCCAAGAUCUCACCACUGCACUCCAGCCUGGAUGACAGAGAGAAAC